CAUUACCUAGAGUUGUAGGCUUUGCCUGCUAUCUCUUACCCAUGUCUUUUGAGUACCUUACGUUUCCUCGGUGGGUUCGCCCACCGAUUGGACAAACUUAAACCCUUUGCAGUUGAAAUCAGCGUCUGAAAAAACUUAAUAGUUACAACUUUCAACAACGGAUCUCUUGGUUCUGGCAUCGAUGAAGAACGCAGCGAAAUGCGAUAAGUAGUGUGAAUUGCAGAAUUCAGUGAAUCAUCGAAUCUUUGAACGCACAUUGCGCCCCUUGGUAUUCCGUGGGGCAUGCCUGUUCGAGCGUCAUUUGUACCUUCAAGCUCUGCUUGGUGUUGGGUGUUUGUCUCCUGUAGACUCGCCUUAAAACAAUUGGCAGCCGGCGUAUUGAUUUCGGAGCGCAGUACAUCUCGCGCUUUGCACUCAUAACGACGACAUCCAAAAGUACAUUUUUACACUCUUGACCUCGGAUCAGGUAGGGAUACCCGCUGAACUUAAGCA
This 492-nucleotide ribosomal RNA is filed under the name Leptosphaeria sacchari. RNAcentral describes it as "eukaryotic LSU rRNA". The stretch from base 147 to 300 matches the Rfam family "5.8S ribosomal RNA". Lineage: Eukaryota; Fungi; Ascomycota; Dothideomycetes; Pleosporales; Leptosphaeriaceae. The record is from RNAcentral.